Long non-coding RNA from Drosophila persimilis, 534 nucleotides. RefSeq lists it as uncharacterized. NCBI's taxonomy places the organism in Eukaryota, Metazoa, Arthropoda, Insecta, Diptera, Drosophilidae. The record is from RefSeq and is a predicted model, not a curated record. The transcript has 2 exons.
UUUUUGGAGCUCUACUCUCUGCACUAGCUCCUGCGGGAUCUGCUUUCGAAAGUCCAUGCUGCGAAUGUAAGCCGCAACAGCCAUUGUGUGUCCACAAAUUACCAUGCUGCGAACGUAAGAAUAAGUAUAAAAUAAACCAACUCUUUCGACCCAUAACCACAUCUAUUUGCCCCAUAGUUCAGUCUCGGUUCACGCUUAUUACCGACUACCGAUGAUGUGAAAUUCGCACAGCCAAAGCAAUUAGACGCCCUUUUCCAGCUGAGCAAAUAAAAGUUGCACGUAAACUUUUCCACUGCCGCGUGCAACUGGGGGAAACUGUCAGGAUGCAGUCGGGAAGUGUUCCCGGACUGAGACGAGUCCUGUGAAUAUUUAAGCAAACUGCAAAGUAGACAACUUUUGUUUUAAAACUGUCAACGCAGACACGCCUACGACCCGGAGGGACACCAGGAAACCAGGAAGGGGAAAUGAACUAACAAAAAAUACGCCCGAGCCAGGGAAAUCGUAAUAAAAUAAAUUGUUUCAGUGCACGGAAAA